RNAcentral lists this ribosomal RNA (443 nucleotides) under uncultured bacterium. Its description in RNAcentral is "partial 16S ribosomal RNA". It matches the Rfam family "Bacterial small subunit ribosomal RNA", at positions 338 to 795 of the family's 1533-position model. The record is from RNAcentral.
CCUACGGGUGGCUGCAGUGGGGAAUAUUGGGCAAUGGGCGCAAGCCUGACCCAGCAACGCCGCGUGAAGGAAGAAGGCUUUCGGGUUGUAAACUUCUUUUUUCAGGGACGAAGCAAGUGACGGUACCUGACGAAUAAGCCACGGCUAACUACGUGCCAGCCGCCGCUGUAAUACGUAGGUGGCAAGCGUUAUCCGGAUUUACUGGGUGUAAGGGGCGUGUAGGCGGGACUGCAAGUCAGAUGUGAAAACCACGGGCUCAACCUGUGGCCUGCAUUUGAUACUGUAGUUCUUGAGUACUGGAGAGGCAGACGGAAUUCAUGGUGUAGCGGUGAAAUGCGUAGAUAUUAGACGGAACACCAGUGGCGAAGGCGGUCUACUGGACAGCAACUGACGCUGAGGCGCGAAAGCGUGGGGAGCAAACAGGAUUAGAUACCCCAGUAGUC